GGUUUCUGUUUAGCCAUAAAAAGGUGAAUGUGUAUAAAACACCAACAGUCAAGUGUAUGUUGACACAUGGAACCUCUGGAAACCAGUAUAAUUUGAUAACAUACAAAAAAAAAACAUUCGAAUCUCUAAAGAAUGAGCUAUACGAUUGCAGCACACUUCAAAGGAAGAGAACCAACAGAACAGUUUGUCAAAUCUAUUGUUUUGUCAGAAGAUAAUGGAGUAAAAUCAGUAUUGACUACUUCACUUGAGAAGUUAAAAAAAAGAAGUCAAUACUUUUUUGACAGAAUGCAUUGAAAAAAAUAGAAAAGAAUCAUCUGAUGCUCAAAAUAUUCCGACAAUUGAUGAAGAAGAAUUAGAUAGUGAAGAGGAAACCAUCAGUGAAGAUCAUACAUCUCUAAGACCAAAUAAGGUUCCUAAGUUGGUUUAGUGCCUGGCAAUCUCUUUCUUAUGUUCUCAAUGGCUAAAUGGUGUGUAAUGAAAGAAAAAUUGAAAUAUAGACACAUGAUUCUCUG
Molecule: long non-coding RNA, 512 nt
Organism: Daphnia carinata
Lineage: Eukaryota; Metazoa; Arthropoda; Branchiopoda; Diplostraca; Daphniidae
Exons: 3
Source: RefSeq, a predicted model, not a curated record